AGCAGACACCGUCCACUCGGGCUCACAGUGCUAUCCGGGUGAGGACCUCCCUGGAGAGCCCCUCUUUGCCAAAGAAAAGCAAAGUUGCAUUAGGUCUGCGAGCAGGCAGGGCGGCCUGUUCCCGGCUCCCCACCCACCACGGAGGCUUCAAGUCCCUGGGACAGAGGCACUUUCCCACACAGGACAGAGCCGGACCACCCUCACAGCCCCUGUCCCGCAGACGCUGGCCUUGUGGAGGGAGGCGGGCAGCAGGAGCAGUGCUUUCUGGGCCCUCUGCGGCCAGAGCUGGCUCUGCUGCAGCUCACUUCUGCCUGCAGCCCAGACAUCCUGCUGGUCCUCCUGAUGCCCCCGGCCUCCACGGAGGAUGAGCGUCUCCAGCCCAGCCCUCCCCAUCUCCACCUUCCGCUCCCCCCGACACACUGGGAGCCUCCUGAUCUGUGAACCCGUGCUGGCGGGGGUAGCUACUGACUGCUGAGGACCCCUGCCCGGGCUGUUCUCACGUGGAAAGGAUUCGGGGAGCGGGCGAUGCUUAGCUCAAAGCAUGGAGACCAGCGCUGCCCUCUCCCCAGCGACAGGUGCACGCUCAGAUCACGGAUGUGUCGGGAACAGCUGUGACUCCUGCUGCUCAGCGUCUGUCACUCCAGGCUGGGAGCGGGUCCCCAAGCUUCCGGCUGGGCCCAUCCGUCUCCCCUCUCAGUGGUGGGUGGGGGGAGCGCCAACAGCACGCAUUUGCUCUCCACACUUCUCAUCUGACAGUGGGCAGAGGGUCCUUCUCCAGCCCUAAAACAUCCCCAGGCAACGUCCUGGGGCUCCAAGCAGCCAGGGAGAGGUGAGUACCAAGGACCUCCCCUCGGGCGUCAUCUCCUGCCGAGGGAGGCCAAGCCUAGGGGCGGUGUCUGUCACGUGGAGGCAACACUUUCACUGGUGGCAGUAAAUGCUGUCCCUAACCCUACAGUAUAGAUGUGGGUUUCUGUGCCCUGUACAGGAGGGUGCUAUCUGACACCAGACACCCAGACUACAGAUCGCAGCCCCAUUCCUGGUCCUUACGCCACUGAACCCCAGACCACAGCCUCAUUCUAGGCCCUCAUCCCCUAGAUCCAGGGACCCCAGCCCCAUUUCAGCCCUUGGGCCCCUGUAGGAUGCUAGGCCCUGGCUCCCCUGGGCCCCAGCCCCCAGUCCAUCCCAGGCCCAGGCACCAGGGGGGCUGAGGUCCUCUGAGAAGGGACACGGGGCCUCGGGGGGGCUCUCUCAGCCCAUCAGCAGGAGAGGACUGACUCCAGAAAAAUCAGCCUUUGUGCCCACUUAGGCUGCCAAGACCUGUGUCUGUCCUUCCACACUCAACCUUCAGAUUUCAUGAGGCUCCUUGCCC
This is a long non-coding RNA of Mandrillus leucophaeus (drill), 1369 nucleotides long. RefSeq lists it as uncharacterized. The transcript has 3 exons. Lineage: Eukaryota; Metazoa; Chordata; Mammalia; Primates; Cercopithecidae. The record is from RefSeq and is a predicted model, not a curated record.